UAGGGAAUCUUCCGCAAUGGGCGAAAGCCUGACGGAGCAACGCCGCGUGAGUGAUGAAGGUCUUCGGAUCGUAAAACUCUGUUAUUAGGGAAGAACAAAUGUGUAAGUAACUAUGCACGUCUUGACGGUACCUAAUCAGAAAGCCACGGCUAACUACGUGCCAGCAGCCGCGGUAAUACGUAGGUGGCAAGCGUUAUCCGGAAUUAUUGGGCGUAAAGCGCGCGUAGGCGGUUUUUUAAGUCUGAUGUGAAAGCCCAAGGCUCAACCGUGGAGGGUCAUUGGAAACUGGAAAACUUGAGUGCAGAAGAGGAAAGGGGAAUUCCAUGUGUAGCGGUGAAAUGCGCAGAGAUAUGGUGGAACGCCAGUGGCGAAGGCGACUUUCUGGUCUGUAACUGACGCUGAUGUGCGAAAGCGUGGGGAUCAAACAGG
RNAcentral lists this ribosomal RNA (429 nucleotides) under Actinomycetes bacterium. Its description in RNAcentral is "Actinobacteria bacterium partial 16S ribosomal RNA". It matches the Rfam family "Bacterial small subunit ribosomal RNA", at positions 355 to 776 of the family's 1533-position model. The record is from RNAcentral. Lineage: Bacteria; Bacillati; Actinomycetota; Actinomycetes.